RNAcentral lists this ribosomal RNA (775 nucleotides) under uncultured Neocallimastigales. RNAcentral's name for it is "partial large subunit ribosomal RNA". It matches the Rfam family "Eukaryotic large subunit ribosomal RNA", at positions 26 to 628 of the family's 3401-position model. The record is from RNAcentral. Lineage: Eukaryota; Fungi; Neocallimastigomycota; Neocallimastigomycetes; Neocallimastigales.
CGUCUAUAUACGUAUAGCAUAUCAAUAAGCGGAGGAAAAGAAACUAACUAGGAUUCCCUCAGUAACGGCGAGUGAAGCGGGAAGAGCUCAAAUUUGAAAUCUUCAAGGUUCUACCUUGACGAAUUGUAGUUUAAAGAAGUGUUUUCUGUUGGAGUUUUGGUAAAAGUUCUUUGGAAUAGGACAUCAUAGAGGGUGAGAAUCCCGUAUUUGACCAUUAUUUCCAACUUUGUGAUACACUUUCAAAGGAGUCGGAUUGUUUGGGAAUGCAGUCCAAAAUGGGUGGUAAAUUUCAUCUAAAGCUAAAUACUGGCGAGAGACCGAUAGCGAACAAGUACCGUGAGGGAAAGAUGAAAAGAACUUUGAAAAGAGAGUUAAACAGUACGUGAAAUUGUCAAAAGGGAAGCGUUUGACACCAGUGUUGUUUUCUCGAAAAUCAAUUAAAAAUGGCGGGAUUUUGUGUUGUAUUGACUUUAUCAGCUUUCUGCACUCUUUUCCUGUCUUUUUUAAUGCACUUUUCGUUUAACAAGUCAACAUCAAUUUCUUUUGUUGUAAAAGGGUCAUUGGAAGGUGGCUUUCUUUUCGGAGAAAGUGUUUAUAGCCUUUGACUUCUGCAAUCGGAGAGAUUGAGGUCUGCAGCGUAGAUCCUUCGGGGUUAGAUGCAUUUGUGCUAAGUUAUAGCCUUUCAUAGACAACUUGUUGACUAUGAUCAGUCAUGUAGCUUACUCGCUUAUGUCAUUUUACCUACGCUUAGGAUGUUGACGAUCAGCUGAGCGCG